AUGAAGUUCAGCCAGGCCCUCCUCGUCUUCCUGCUUCUGUCCAUGUCUCCAUUCACUGGAAGGCGCCCUGGCCGUUCCAGCAAUGGUGACUGGGACGAGGACAGGGAGGAAGAGCUGGUCCCUCCUGAGGAGCCGCUGCUUGCUGACACCGAGCGCCAGACCUCCAACUGGCCCAGCUGGCUUGGCCUCCCCUCCUGCCCCAGCUGGAUCUGGCAAAGGGUCAGCAGGGCUGCUGCAACAGAGGGCCUGAAGCAGCAGCCCCAGGACGCGGAGCAGAAGGCCCCUGAGUCGCCCUUCUGGCUUGGCCUUUCAGCGCUCCCCAUCCGGAUCCGCGAAAGGGACAGCAAGACGGUCCUCCCUGAGGAGAAGCAGCCUGCUGACACCGAGCGCCAGACCUCCAACUGGCCCAGCUGCCUUAGCCUUCCCUCCUGCCCCAGGUGCAUCUGGCACAGGCUCAGCAGAGCUGACGGUCCAGAGGGCCCAAAGCGGCAGCCCCUGCGCACCGAGCAGGCGGCCUUCAGCUUGCCCUACCUCCUGGGCCUCCUCUGCGACUACAUGGAGCAAGGGGGGUAUACCGGGCUCCUUAUGGGUGCCCUGAUAGAUGUCUGCGCUCUCUGCCUGCUGCGGGUUGCCCACAGCCUCUGGGGAAAAGUACAAAGACCUCGGGAACAGGGAACGCGACAAAUGGCCUCAGGUCCCCCGGGAACAGACGAGCAGCUCGACCGGCUGCAGGCCCAGCUGGACUUAUUGCAGAGGUGCCUGACGACCCUCGAAUCCCACGCGGAGCUCAACCGCCAGCAGUCAGGGAAGAAGGCACAAGGAGCAAGGAAGAGGAGUUGCUCCCCACCCCGCUCCAGCUCCAGCUCCGCUGUGGAUUCCGUGGGUGGACAACAGGAAAGCAGGGCAAGAUGACUGCCAGCUGCUGGAGCAGGACAUGCCUCCGCCCACCAAAGCUUCCUGGGGUGAAGGCAUCUCCAGUGACUACAGUCUUCUACCGCCUGGCUGCCAAGAGCUCCUUGAUCAUCACCUUGCUGCAGGGGGCUACGGACACUGGCCCAGCCUGCACAACGGCCGGCGGAGACUGUCCCACUAGUUUCAAGUGUUUGUUUUUCUCUUUUUUCUAUGUUUCAGUAAUUCUCUUUUUUGCAUGUUUCAAUAAAAAUUAAAAGAUAUAUUGCUAGUGCGUGUGU
RNAcentral lists this long non-coding RNA (1190 nucleotides) under Numida meleagris (helmeted guineafowl). RNAcentral describes it as "lncRNA (ENSNMEG00000007733.1)". Lineage: Eukaryota; Metazoa; Chordata; Aves; Galliformes; Numididae. The record is from RNAcentral.